This 354-nucleotide long non-coding RNA is filed under the name Gossypium raimondii (Peruvian cotton). RNAcentral's name for it is "long non-coding RNA (GRAI_LNC008981)". Lineage: Eukaryota; Viridiplantae; Streptophyta; Magnoliopsida; Malvales; Malvaceae. The record is from RNAcentral.
GAGCCACAUGAGCUACACCAUUUCACACAGGCCUAGAGAGAUAUACGACCUAGCUACACAGCCGUGUACCUUCUUUAAAGUUAGGGUUUUAAUUUUUUUUUCUUUUAUUUCUUCUUAACAUUUUCCCAAUUUUGUGCUUCCAAACACCUCCACGCCCUCAUCGCCGACCGUUCGCCUUCCCGUUUCAUCAUUUGCUCAACCCCCGCCGUCCACUCGUAUCGCCAAUUUCCCAAUUUUCAUCUUUUUUUCCCAUCGUUUCCUCCUCAUUCUUCAUUCCUCACCGCCGUUUCUCUCCCUAACCAUCCCCUUUCCUUCUCACACACCGACGUUGCCGUUCCUCUUCGCCAACGCAAC